UAUGAGGUGGGAAGACAUUUGUGCACCUAUGGCCCCAAGAGAGUCUCUCGUUUGUAGAUGAAAUGAUUUGGGAACUAUGAAACUAGAGAUCUUUGUAAAGCUUUUUUCUGUGUAGACAUUUACAUUUAUGAAAUAUUCCAUAAAAAGAAAGAAAAUGAUGUAGAUGAGAAGCAAGUUUGUUGUCACUAAUUUAUGUUUCGUAUAUGUUCAAAAAAAAGUUUCGUGAAUUAAAAAC
RNAcentral lists this long non-coding RNA (235 nucleotides) under Brassica rapa (field mustard). RNAcentral describes it as "long non-coding RNA (BRAP_LNC002018)". The record is from RNAcentral. Lineage: Eukaryota; Viridiplantae; Streptophyta; Magnoliopsida; Brassicales; Brassicaceae.